AUCUAUUUAGUGCCAUCAUGUUUUUUAUUGGUUUCAAUUUAGUGCCAGCUUCUUAUUUUUGUUGAUGCUUGCCAAACUAUUGAAAAAAUAAGUGAAAAAUGAUAUAUGUUGUUAAUGCCUUCACUUGUGCCAUAUCCUGUGGGUACAUCAGGGAAAACUUCCUACAAAAUCAUUUUGAGAAACAAUGAUUUGUUAUCUUUCAUGCCUGAUGUCUAUGGGUCUUGGUCAAUGAUCCCUAGAAUGGUUUGUUAAUCCAUCUGAUUGUAUUAGAAAUGGACUUAG
RNAcentral lists this unclassified non-coding RNA (282 nucleotides) under Hevea brasiliensis (rubber tree). The record is from RNAcentral. Lineage: Eukaryota; Viridiplantae; Streptophyta; Magnoliopsida; Malpighiales; Euphorbiaceae.